GAACAAGAGAUACAAUGAACCUAGACAUAUACGCAUCCCAUGGAGCCCAGUCACCCUAACGCCUAUAAAAAUAGGAGAACAUUCAAGAACCAAGAACAAGAACACAAAGCCAACGCCAAACAAAAAAAGAACAGACAAAGAAACUUUGAAAAGAAAAUGGGUAAAGGAGGAAACCUUAUGACGGCUUCGGAGGUGGAGGAGCUACGACGGAAGAACGGGGAGAUGGAAAAAGAGGUGGAGGAAAUGAAGAAAGAGAUGUUGCAGUUGUGGCGGCGGACGCAGGUGGCGGAGGAAGCUGAGGAGCGUCUCUGCUCUCAGCUCGC
This 323-nucleotide long non-coding RNA is filed under the name Brassica rapa (field mustard). Its description in RNAcentral is "long non-coding RNA (BRAP_LNC001603)". Lineage: Eukaryota; Viridiplantae; Streptophyta; Magnoliopsida; Brassicales; Brassicaceae. The record is from RNAcentral.